RNAcentral lists this long non-coding RNA (1100 nucleotides) under Pan troglodytes (chimpanzee). RNAcentral describes it as "long non-coding RNA NONPTRT014684". Lineage: Eukaryota; Metazoa; Chordata; Mammalia; Primates; Hominidae. The record is from RNAcentral.
GGUCUAGUGGUGAGGCCAUUAGCUGGCUCUCACUCUCUUCUGUUAGGGGAGAUAUGCAGGAACCCUUAACUCCAAGAGGCAGAAGAGCCUGGGUGGAUGUGAGAGGAAGGGGGAUCAGAGGGAGAGGAAGCAGGAAGGUUACUGCUAAGUUCUGACUCAAGGGAAGCAGUUUCAGGCAGAGUUAAGGAAGUCAAAGGUUUCUUUCUAGGUAGAGAAGCCCAGUUCAUCAGCCUAUGAAAGAACACUGGAAUUUAGAACACAAACUCCUUCUAGGGUGUAAUGAUUGUACACUGGUUAGUGUUACUUAGUACUGUAUUUCUAAGGAAACCGAGCUUGCUGAUGGGACAGAAGAGGGAGACAAUUUUCAACGUCAUUUUCCUCUAACUGUAUGGUCUCUCUCACAGGUAUACAAGGACCCCAGAACCUUAACACAAUUCUGAGGUGGAAGAAAUGGGGAACACCAGGCCUGGCCUCAUGGAGACCGGGGAGUCAGAACCUGAGCACAGGAACCAGCUACAGAAUUUGCAAGUGGAGAAUCCAGGUACCUUUAAAAGUCUAUUCAGUGAAAAUCUCUGGCUAUUGAUGUGACGGUUAAUUUUAUGUGCCAACUUGGCUAGGCCAUGGUACCCAGUUUUUCAUAAAAGAUCAGUCUAGAUGUUGUGAAGGUAUAUUUUUAAAUGUGAUUAACAUUUUAUUCAGUGGACUUCAAGUAAAGCAGAUUAUCCUCCAUAUAGUGGGUGGGCCUUCUCCAAUCAGGCCUUAAGAGCAAAGACCAUGGUUUCUCAAAGAAAGAAUUUUCCUCAAGACUGCAACAUAGAGACCUUGCCUGAGUUUCCAGCCUGAUACCCUGAAGAAUUUGGACUCAAGACUGCAAUAUCAGCUCUUUCCUGAAUUUCUAGCCUGCUGGCCUGCCCUACAGAUUUUAGAUCUCCCAGCCCCAUUGCAUGAGCUAAUUCCUUAAAAUAAAUAAAUCUCUGUGUGUGUAUGUGUGCUGUAACUAAUAUAUCCUAUUGGUCUGUUUCUCCGGAGAACCCUAACUAACACAAUUGUCUACCAUAUUACUGCAUAAAAGACUUAUGACUCACCUUUACUACAUUUCA